UUUAACCUUUUUAUUUUCCCCACUAAGUUAUUUCCUCGUGGAUGAUUAUUGUUUCAGUUUCCUCCCUAGCUAAUUAUCUGGAUGGAACCACUCCCCUUGAGUUAUAUUCUCAUUUGGGUUGAGUCCUUGUUUGACGGAUUCUUUCUAGCAUUUACCUAGAUAGAUAGUUUUGGGUCUCUUGAGAAUAUACUACCCAGUAACUGGUAAUAUUCUUCUCGAUUUUUUAGUACAUCACUUUUUCCCA
Molecule: long non-coding RNA, 244 nt
Filed under: Lathyrus oleraceus (garden pea)
Lineage: Eukaryota; Viridiplantae; Streptophyta; Magnoliopsida; Fabales; Fabaceae
Description: Pisum sativum (pea) long non-coding RNA (PSAT_LNC039037)
Source: RNAcentral